AGAACGAACGCUGGCGGCAUGCCUAACACAUGCAAGUCGAACGAGACCUUCGGGUCUAGUGGCGCACGGGUGCGUAACGCGUGGGAAUCUGCCCUUAGGUACGGAAUAACAGUGAGAAAUUACUGUUAAUACCGUAUGAUGUCUUCGGACCAAAGAUUUAUCGCCUAGGGAUGAGCCCGCGUAGGAUUAGCUAGUUGGUGGGGUAAAGGCCUACCAAGGCUACGAUCCUUAGCUGGUCUGAGAGGAUGAUCAGCCACACUGGGACUGAGACACGGCCCAGACUCCUACGGGAGGCAGCAGUGGGGAAUAUUGGACAAUGGGCGAAAGCCUGAUCCAGCAAUGCCGCGUGAGUGAAGAAGGCCUUCGGGUUGUAAAGCUCUUUUACCCGGGAAGAUAAUGACUGUACCGGGAGAAUAAGCCCCGGCUAACUCCGCGCCAGCAGCCGC
Molecule: ribosomal RNA, 446 nt
Filed under: uncultured bacterium
Lineage: Bacteria
Description: SSU rRNA
Rfam family: Bacterial small subunit ribosomal RNA
Source: RNAcentral